Sphaerobolus stellatus SS14 is the source of this 85-nucleotide non-coding RNA. NCBI's taxonomy places the organism in Eukaryota, Fungi, Basidiomycota, Agaricomycetes, Geastrales, Sphaerobolaceae. The record is from the annotation of a GenBank genome assembly.
AGUGUGGUGGUCUAGAGGUAUGAUUCCUUCUUAGCGUUCUUGACUCAUCUGGAGGAGGUCCCGGGUUCAAUUCCUGGCCAGGCCC